Molecule: unclassified non-coding RNA, 392 nt
Filed under: soil metagenome
Description: partial contains 5.8S ribosomal RNA, internal transcribed spacer 2, and large subunit ribosomal RNA
Rfam family: 5.8S ribosomal RNA (bases 2-122)
Source: RNAcentral
CAUGAAGAACGUAGCGAAAUGCGAUACUUGGUGUGAAUUGCAGAAUCCCGUGAACCAUCGAGUCUUUGAACGCAAGUUGCGCCCGAAGCCAUUAGGCCGAGGGCACGCCUGCCUGGGCGUCACACGUCGUUGCCCCCCCCAUCUACUCCUUCGGGAUUGCGGGGGGCGGAUGAUGGCCUCCCGUGCGCCUCGCCGCGCGGUUGGCAUAAAUGCCAAGUCCUCGGCGACGCACGCCACGACAAUCGGUGGUUGCGAAACCUCGGUUGCCCGUCGUGUGCGGUCGUCGCGCAUCGAGGGCUCGAAAAAAUUGCCGAGUUCCGGCUCGGCUUUCAACGCGACCCCAGGUCAGGCGGGGUUACCCGCUGAAUUUAAGCAUAUCAAUAAGCGGAGGA